Molecule: unclassified non-coding RNA, 303 nt
Filed under: Hevea brasiliensis (rubber tree)
Lineage: Eukaryota; Viridiplantae; Streptophyta; Magnoliopsida; Malpighiales; Euphorbiaceae
Source: RNAcentral
GGAAACUUGCUUGCUUGUACGAUUGCAUCCACCGUUUUCUGCUCCUGCGGACUUAAUUGUCCACGGCCAGUAUCAACACUUCUAGUUACCUGCCCAUCUGCAAUGAUUAAUAGAACAUGGUACUGGCCUCCACUCUGCUCAACUAUUGUCAUGGCCAUUUCAAUGACCGGGGCGAAUGAUGUUGGUCCUGCAAGCUUCAGCUGGGGGACAAUUUCUCUGUAACGAGACAGAACUUCCUCAAAACCAUUACAAAAUCUUUCAUCGGGAAAGAAACUGAAUACAUCUUGAUCAUGAGUUGAUGCA